AGUUUAACUGGGGCGGUUGCCUCCCAAAAUGUAACGGAGGCGCCCAAAGGUUCCCUCAGCCUGGUUGGCAAUCAGGUGGCGAGUGUAAGUGCACAAGGGAGCUUGACUGCGAGAGUGACAGCUCGAGCAGGGACGAAAGUCGGGACUAGUGAUCCGGCGGCACGUUGUGGAACGGCCGUCGCUCAACGGAUAAAAGGUACCUCGGGGAUAACAGGCUGAUCUUGCCCAAGAGUCCAUAUCGACGGCAUGGUUUGGCACCUCGAUGUCGGCUCGUCGCAUCCUGGGGCUGGAGUAGGUCCCAAGGGUUGGGCUGUUCGCCCAUUAAAGCGGCACGCGAGCUGGGUUUAGAACGUCGUGAGACAGUUCGGUCCCUAUCCUCUGCGCGCGUAGGAAAUUUGAGAAGGGCUGUCCUUAGUACGAGAGGACCGGGAUGGACGAACCUCUGGUGUGCCAG
Molecule: ribosomal RNA, 454 nt
Filed under: Ochromonas sp. CCMP1393
Lineage: Eukaryota; Chrysophyceae; Chromulinales; Chromulinaceae
Description: partial Bacterial large subunit ribosomal RNA
Rfam family: Bacterial large subunit ribosomal RNA
Source: RNAcentral